Trachemys scripta elegans is the source of this 728-nucleotide long non-coding RNA. RefSeq lists it as uncharacterized. The transcript has 3 exons. NCBI's taxonomy places the organism in Eukaryota, Metazoa, Chordata, Testudines, Emydidae. The record is from RefSeq and is a predicted model, not a curated record.
AGCUGUGACACUCUUGCUACUUUCCCCAGACCUGAAGAAGAGCGCUUGUAGUGCUAAAGCUUGUCUCUGUCACCACGAUAAGUUGGUUCAACAAAAGACACUGCCUCACCUCCACCGUGUCUAAUUUCUGACUUAUCUUGCCGUCUAAUAUCCAGCAAAUGCAGAUUACCAAUGAUCGGAAGAGGAGGUGGACCAGGAGGCAGUUUCAAAGAACAGCCCUUGGUGGAUUGAGGUGAAGUCACCCACACAGAUCCACCUCUGAAGACCCUGCUGAAGGGCUGGCAGUGAACAGCACCCUGGCACCACCUGAGGACCCGAACAGAACAGGAGGGGUCAGGUCACCAGUUCCCUUGAAGACAUCAAAGGAUAAUGUGAGGCAGGUGUUCUGGGAAGGUAGUUGUGGGGGAAAAGGAAUUCAUGGAGUUUUGUGACUCUAACCAAACCUAUAGGGGCUGGUCUAUGCCGAGUUUGCACACGCCUUCUAAUACUGACCAGACAUGCACUGAGAACUGCCCGUGCAUGCAGAUUUAGCCUCUACUUCACCAUGAGUUGAGCUAUAGAGACUGUUAAUCUUUCUAGUCCUUGUUACGCAGCGGGUGGGUGAGACCAGGUGUGGCAUUGCUAAUGUAGUUGCCAAGUUCCCAGGACCAAAACAUGAUUAAACUAGGCAUAUAUGAAUUGAAUUUGCAUAUUCUUGUGAUGGUGAGACAUUUAAAGGUGAUAAUAAG